CCUUAAAGUUUGGGAUAACUUGGGGAAACUCAAGCUAAUACCGGAUACUGUCUUAGGAACAAAAGCGUGGGGACCUUCGGGCCUGGCGCUUUAAGAUUAGCCUGCGUCCGAUUAGCUAGUUGGUGGGGUAAGGGCCUACCAAGGCGACGAUCGGUAGCUGGUCUGAGAGGAUGACCAGCCACACUGGAACUGAGACACGGUCCAGACUCCUACGGGAGGCAGCAGUGGGGAAUAUUGGACAAUGGGGCAACCCUGAUCCAGCAAUGCCGCGUGUGUGAAGAAGGCCUGAGGGUUGUAAAGCACUUUCAGUGGGGAGGAGGUUACUUAGGUUAAGAGCUAGAGUAAUGGACGUUACCCACAGAAGAAGCACCGGCUAACUCCGUG
RNAcentral lists this ribosomal RNA (384 nucleotides) under uncultured bacterium. Its description in RNAcentral is "bacterial SSU rRNA". It matches the Rfam family "Bacterial small subunit ribosomal RNA", at positions 129 to 507 of the family's 1533-position model. The record is from RNAcentral.